UCCCCUCUUUACAACACUAAUUUUGCAAUCAGGAGUUGUUUAGUGCUCCUAAUUCAAGUGUUUCACUUUCUUUUGUUCUUUUGAUGCCAACGCAAAAUAUAACAAGGUAUUUUGUUCAAAUUCACAAAUCAGCUCUUGUACAAAAAAUGACUCCACAAAUUUCUCAAGAUCAAAGUUUUCCAAAAGCAAAGUUUGUCACAAGUUCUCACUUCCAAGUUCCAGCAACAUCUUUUCCACCAACAACAUACAAAUUCAGUUUUAAUACUAAAGAGGC
RNAcentral lists this unclassified non-coding RNA (274 nucleotides) under Hevea brasiliensis (rubber tree). The record is from RNAcentral. Lineage: Eukaryota; Viridiplantae; Streptophyta; Magnoliopsida; Malpighiales; Euphorbiaceae.